Molecule: ribosomal RNA, 253 nt
Filed under: uncultured bacterium
Lineage: Bacteria
Description: partial 16S ribosomal RNA
Rfam family: Bacterial small subunit ribosomal RNA
Source: RNAcentral
UACGGGGGGGGUAAGCGUUGUUCGGAAUUACUGGGCGUAAAGGGCUCGUAGGCGGCCAACUAAGUCAUACGUGAAAUCCCUCAGCUUAACUGGGGAACUGCGUGUGAUACUGGAUGGCUUGGAUUUGGGAGAGGGAUGCGGAAUUCCAGGUGUAGCGGUGAAAUGCGUAGAUAUCUGGAGGAACACCGGUGGCGAAGGCGGCAUCCUGGACCACAACUGACGCUGAGGCGCGAAAGCGUGGGGAGCGAACAGG